AUUGAACGCUGGCGGAAUGCUUUACACAUGCAAGUCGAGCGGCAGCACGGGGGCAACCCUGGUGGCGAGCGGCGAACGGGUGAGUAAUACAUCGGAACAUGCCCAGUCGUGGGGGAUAACACUUCGAAAGAAGUGCUAAUACCGCAUACGUCCUGAGGGAGAAAGCGGGGGAUCGCAAGACCUCGCGCGAUUGGAGUGGCCGAUGUCAGAUUAGCUAGUUGGUGGGGUAAAGGCCUACCAAGGCAACGAUCUGUAGUUGGUCUGAGAGGAUGAUCAGCCACACUGGGACUGAGACACGGCCCAGACUCCUACGGGAGGCAGCAGUGGGGAAUUUUGGACAAUGGGGGCAACCCUGAUCCAGCCAUUCCGCGUGAGUGAAGAAGGCCUUCGGGUUGUAAAGCUCUUUCGGCAGGAACGAAACGGUGAGCUCUAACAUAGCUCGCUAAUGACGGUACCUGAAGAAGAAGCACCGGCUAACUACGUG
Molecule: ribosomal RNA, 484 nt
Filed under: uncultured bacterium
Lineage: Bacteria
Description: partial 16S ribosomal RNA
Rfam family: Bacterial small subunit ribosomal RNA
Source: RNAcentral